ACUUUCUUUGUUUUAAGACACGGAGAAUUAAUCAGGCACCAAAGGCCCCUCAAAAAGCCCCAAAACCAAAACCCGUGCUUUAGAUUCUUUAUUCUCUCUCUUUUGUUCUUCUUUUUUUCUACCUCAAACAACUGAAAUUAUAACUCCUCUGUUUCUUCUUCUUCUUCUUCUUGCUCUCGUCAGAGAAAUGCAAUCCAAGACUGGAUCUCAAGGUCUUCCUCUCUGUGUUUCAGCCUUCACUCUCUCUAAUCAUUCCCUCUCUACUGAGAUGGCAGAUCAUGAUCGAAGGAGGAAAGCCAUGAGAACGAGAAUGCAAAGAUCAAGAAACAUGGAGGAAAACAGGUUGUUUGAAGCGAUUAAAGAGGGAGAUCUUGAGGAUUUCGUCAAUGAAUUCUGUGAAAUCACCUUAAUUUGUGUUGCAAAAGCUGCUUAGAUUAGAAAAAAGGAUCUGGGUUUUGUUGGGUUUGGAUCUUUCUUUUCAUAUAUUUUGUCAAUUCUGAUCUGGGUUUGUUUUUAUGUAUUGUUCUUGUUUGAUCUGAGUUGGGCUUGGGAACUAUUUGGCUCUAAAUGGUUAAAAAUUUGACUUGUUAUGGAUGGAAUGUAGCAAAAUUUCAGGAACUUGUUUGUCAUCUAGUAGAUUUUAAUUGAUGAAGAUGUAAGUUUGUAAGUUGUAACAAACAAAAUAAGACUGUUUUAUUUAUUUAUUAUUAAAAGAUGAAA
This is a long non-coding RNA of Benincasa hispida (wax gourd), 720 nucleotides long. RefSeq lists it as uncharacterized. The record is from RefSeq and is a predicted model, not a curated record. Lineage: Eukaryota; Viridiplantae; Streptophyta; Magnoliopsida; Cucurbitales; Cucurbitaceae.